CCAGACAGUUGUUUUUAUAUAGCUUAUAUUCACGUCUGCCUGCGGAGUCCCUCUGUACUGGAUCAGCACCAGAGCAGCCAUGAACAUCAACACCAGUUUCAGUAGUCACUCGCCGGAUUAUGAAGAGGAUUGUGUCAGGAUGAGCAUCCAGAAUAAAACUCUCUGCCAAACCUGUGCAGAUCAGUGAAAGCUGAUUCACUGUGGUGAUCCAUGCUGGACAGGCUAAAGGGUGAACGACAACAGAGUUCACAUCAUAGCUGGUGAUGGCAAGAUGUUCACCAUCUCUGGUCUCACCUGCUGCUGCCAGGUGGAGACUCUGUGCUGAUGCUGGGGGAGGAGCUUCUGUUGCUGGGGGCAGAGCUUCUGUCGCUGCAGGACUUGCAGCACAUCUGCCGGUAUCCGGGGAUGGCGCAGUACCGACUCAACACUUCCAUACGACAGAAGGCAGAGCGAUCACCAUGGCAACGCUGCCCUGCAACAGCGGAAGUAUUUCAGUGAAGAGGCUUUCAUUUUGUGGGGGACACAAGCUUUUCUGUCAUCAUCUAUGAAGUGUCUCCUGAAGUAUUAAAGCAGAUUUACUACAAGAGCUGGAUCCUCAGAUCCUAAUGAACUGUCUUCAUCAGAAAGCCAUUUUCAAACUCAGAUCAUCUGAAGGAGAGACGGAGCAGGAGGAUGAAGGAGAGGACUCUCCAGCAUAAAGGAAGCCCAGAAGCUUCAGGACCUGCUUAGGGGCUUUCAGCUGCUCCUACACAGGACAUGUGGAGUCCCUCUGAACUCCUGGAUCAGAAGAUGUCGCGCUCCUUUGGGGAUCUCCAGGAUCUUCAGACUCCACAGCGAUCUUCCUCCUGGUCUGAGGCGAUCUGUCCAUCACAGCCCACAUGCUGAGGAAGGGGGAACAUGGAGCAGAGAAGGGAUGUAGACUUCAGAAACUCAUGAAAAUGUCAAACCCAUUCUGACAAUGACC
Molecule: long non-coding RNA, 964 nt
Organism: Oryzias melastigma (Indian medaka)
Lineage: Eukaryota; Metazoa; Chordata; Actinopteri; Beloniformes; Adrianichthyidae
Exons: 5
Source: RefSeq, a predicted model, not a curated record